RNAcentral lists this ribosomal RNA (441 nucleotides) under uncultured bacterium. Its description in RNAcentral is "bacterial SSU rRNA". It matches the Rfam family "Bacterial small subunit ribosomal RNA", at positions 355 to 786 of the family's 1533-position model. The record is from RNAcentral.
UAGGGAAUUUUCGUCAAUGGGGGGAACCCUGAACGAGCAAUGCCGCGUGUGUGAAGAAGGUCUUCGGAUCGUAAAGCACUGUUGUAAGUGAAGAAUGCCAUAUAGAGGAAAUGCUAUGUGGGUGACGGUAGCUUACCAGAAAGCCACGGCUAACUACGUGCCAGCAGCCGCGGUAAUACGUAGGUGGCAAAGCGUUAUCCGGAAUCAUUGGGCGUAAAGGGUGCGUAGGUGGCACGAUAAGUCUGAAGUAAAAGGCAAACAGCUCAACUGUUGUAUGCUUUGGAAACUGUCGAGCUAGAGUGCAGAAGAGGGCGAUGGAAUUCCAUGUGUAGCGGUAAAAAUGCGUAGAUAUAUGGAGGAACACCAGUGGCGAAGGCGGUCGCCUGGUCUGUAACUGACACUGAUGCACAAAAGCGUGGGGAGCAAAUAGGAUUAGAUACC